UACGAAGGGGGCUAGCGUUGUUCGGAAUUACUGGGCGUAAAGCGUAUGUAGGCGGAUCGUUAAGUCGGGGGUGAAAUCCCGAGGCUCAACCUCGGAACUGCCUUCGAUACUGGCGAUCUUCGAGUCCGGGAGAGGUGAGUGGAACUCCCAGUGUAGCGGUGAAAUGCGUAGAUAUUGGGAGGAACACCAGUGGCGAAGGCGGCUCACUGGACCGGUACUGACGCUGAUGCGCGAAAGCGUGGGGAGCAAACGGG
This 254-nucleotide ribosomal RNA is filed under the name uncultured bacterium. RNAcentral's name for it is "partial 16S ribosomal RNA". It matches the Rfam family "Bacterial small subunit ribosomal RNA", at positions 524 to 776 of the family's 1533-position model. The record is from RNAcentral.